This 373-nucleotide ribosomal RNA is filed under the name uncultured organism. Its description in RNAcentral is "bacterial SSU rRNA". It matches the Rfam family "Bacterial small subunit ribosomal RNA", at positions 526 to 896 of the family's 1533-position model. The record is from RNAcentral.
CGUAGGGACCGAGCGUUGUCCGGAUUCAUUGGGCGUAAAGAGCUCGUAGGCGGCUGCUCAAGUCGAAUGUGAAAACUCGAGGCUCAACCUCGAGCCUGCAUUCGAUACUGGGCGGCUAGAGUCUGGUAGGGGGAUCUGGAAUUCCUGGUGUAGCGGUGGAAUGCGCAGAUAUCAGGAGGAACACCGGUGGCGAAGGCGGGAUCCUGGGCCAGUACUGACGCUGAGGAGCGAAAGCGUGGGGAGCAAACAGGAUUAGAUACCCUGGUAGUCCACGCCGUAAACGAUGGGCGCUAGGUGUGGGAGGUCAUCGACUUCUUCCGUGCCGCAGCUAACGCAUUAAGCGCCCCGCCUGGGGAGUACGGCCGCAAGGCUA